AUUGAACGCUGGCGGCAGGCCUAACACAUGCAAGUCGAGCGGAUGAAGGGAGCUUGCUCCUGGAUUCAGCGGCGGACGGGUGAGUAAUGCCUAGGAAUCUGCCUGGUAGUGGGGGAUAACGUCCGGAAACGGGCGCUAAUACCGCAUACGUCCUGAGGGAGAAAGUGGGGGAUCUUCGGACUUCACGCUAUCAGAUGAGCCUAGGUCGGAUUAGCUAGUUGGUGGGGUAAAGGCCUACCAAGGCGACGAUCCGUAACUGGUCUGAGAGGAUGAUCAGUCACACUGGAACUGAGACACGGUCCAGACUCCUACGGGAGGCAGCGAUGGGGAAUAUUGGACAAUGGGCGAAAGCCUGAUCCAGCCAUGCCGCGUGUGUGAAGAAGGUCUUCGGAUUGUAAAGCACUUUAAGUUGGGAGGAAGGGCAGUAAGUUAAUACCGUGCUGUUUUGACGUUACCAACAGAAUAAGCACCGGCUAACUUCGUG
This 484-nucleotide ribosomal RNA is filed under the name uncultured bacterium. RNAcentral's name for it is "partial 16S ribosomal RNA". It matches the Rfam family "Bacterial small subunit ribosomal RNA", at positions 30 to 507 of the family's 1533-position model. The record is from RNAcentral.